AUGGCUUCCUUAACUAUGCUUGUCAGUUGGGUCAUUUGGAACGAGAAAAAUGCUAGAGUUUUUAGGAAGAAAUCAAGGCCGCCUUUCUACAAUCUCAAACUUAUCCAAGAAAAAUUCAAACUUUGGGUCACGGCAGGAGAUAGACACCUGAGUAUCAUCAUGCCGCGAGAGUACUUGUUGUUUAUUUUGUUGACUGGCCUUAUAUGCAUGACUGAGUCCAAGGUUACAUGUUCCAGGGCUAGCCCAGACCCGACCUCGAUAUCGCGGAUCUCUUCAGCUAGCGGCGCAUGCCCUUGCUCUCUUCCUCUCCGGGAGAGCAAGAACAAGGUCCUGAGGCUUCCGUGUUAUCAGACUCCUUCAGUUAUAAGUGAUCUGCUAGAUGAUGCUGAGUUCCGUAAACAAAAUUGUUGA
This 411-nucleotide ribosomal RNA is filed under the name Triticum aestivum (bread wheat). RNAcentral's name for it is "partial small subunit ribosomal RNA". Lineage: Eukaryota; Viridiplantae; Streptophyta; Magnoliopsida; Poales; Poaceae. The record is from RNAcentral.